RNAcentral lists this long non-coding RNA (633 nucleotides) under Capsicum annuum. Its description in RNAcentral is "long non-coding RNA (CANN_LNC004407)". Lineage: Eukaryota; Viridiplantae; Streptophyta; Magnoliopsida; Solanales; Solanaceae. The record is from RNAcentral.
UUUUUGGUGACAUGUAAGUGAAAGUACAGGUAUUUGAACGGGUUCUCCCGGGCCUUCUCGGCUUCGGGUGCCAGUCCGGCCCGAUGGGAUUUUGGGGCGUGACAAAAGUGGUAUCAGAGAGGUUCGUCCUAGUGAGUCUACAAAGCCGUGUCUACGUAGAGUCUUGUUUAUCGGUGUGUUGUGCACCACAUCUAUAAACAGGAGGCUAUGGACAUUUAGGAAAUUAUUUCUUUUCUUCAGAUCAUAGAUCGUGCCAUAGAGUUUAUAUAGCAAACGAAGUCAUAGUUGGCCACUGAAUCCAUUUGCUUCUCUUAUUACAGUAAGAAUGCCGGAUAUCGGAAGUAAGAAUACCGACGAGCGGGUAGACGUAGCUGUCGGAGAAGGGACUAGUAAGUCACCACCUGUACAAGUUAAUCAGAGUGAAGCUCAAGUUGAGCGGGUAUCUGAAAUGUCUUCCACUCCAGAUGGAAUAAAGGGGAGGCAAACCAUAAUCACAGAACCACUUGUUAAUGCUGCUGAUCAGGAUAUGAGGGAUGCAGUACAACUGUUGACCCGGAUUGUUGCCAGUCAAGUCCAAGGGCAAGCUAUUCCUGCCGCGGGUCCUAGCGGUACUGAUAGGGCGGCUAGUCUUCG